UUGAAGAGUUUGAUCAUGGCUCAGAUUGAACGCUGGCGGCAGGCCUAACACAUGCAAGUCGAACGGUAACAGGAAGCAGCUUGCUGCUUUGCUGACGAGUGGCGGACGGGUGAGUAAUGUCUGGGAAACUGCCUGAUGGAGGGGGAUAACUACUGGAAACGGUAGCUAAUACCGCAUAACGUCGCAAGACCAAAGAGGGGGACCUUCGGGCCUCUUGCCAUCGGAUGUGCCCAGAUGGGAUUAGCUAGUAGGUGGGGUAACGGCUCACCUAGGCGACGAUCCCUAGCUGGUCUGAGAGGAUGACCAGCCACACUGGAACUGAGACACGGUCCAGACUCCUACGGGAGGCAGCAGUGGGGAAUAUUGCACAAUGGGCGCAAGCCUGAUGCAGCCAUGCCGCGUGUAUGAAGAAGGCCUUCGGGUUGUAAAGUACUUUCAGCGGGGAGGAAGGGAGUAAAGUUAAUACCUUUGCUCAUUGACGUUACCCGCAGAAGAAGCACCGGCUAACUCCGUGCCAGCAGCCGCGGUAAUACGGAGGGUGCAAGCGUUAAUCGGAAUUACUGGGCGUAAAGCGCACGCAGGCGGUUUGUUAAGUCAGAUGUGAAAUCCCCGGGCUCAACCUGGGAACUGCAUCUGAUACUGGCAAGCUUGAGUCUCGUAGAGGGGGGUAGAAUUCCAGGUGUAGCGGUGAAAUGCGUAGAGAUCUGGAGGAAUACCGGUGGCGAAGGCGGCCCCCUGGACGAAGACUGACGCUCAGGUGCGAAAGCGUGGGGAGCAAACAGGAUUAGAUACCCUGGUAGUCCACGCCGUAAACGAUGUCGACUUGGAGGUUGUGCCCUUGAGGCGUGGCUUCCGGAGCUAACGCGUUAAGUCGACCGCCUGGGGAGUACGGCCGCAAGGUUAAAACUCAAAUGAAUUGACGGGGCCCGCACAAGCGGUGGAGCAUGUGGUUUAAUUCGAUGCAACGCGAAGAACCUUACCUGGUCUUGACAUCCACGGAAGUUUUCAGAGAUGAGAAUGUGCCUUCGGGAACCGUGAGACAGGUGCUGCAUGGCUGUCGUCAGCUCGUGUUGUGAAAUGUUGGGUUAAGUCCCGCAACGAGCGCAACCCUUAUCCUUUGUUGCCAGCGGUCCGGCCGGGAACUCAAAGGAGACUGCCAGUGAUAAACUGGAGGAAGGUGGGGAUGACGUCAAGUCAUCAUGGCCCUUACGACCAGGGCUACACACGUGCUACAAUGGCGCAUACAAAGAGAAGCGACCUCGCGAGAGCAAGCGGACCUCAUAAAGUGCGUCGUAGUCCGGAUUGGAGUCUGCAACUCGACUCCAUGAAGUCGGAAUCGCUAGUAAUCGUGGAUCAGAAUGCCACGGUGAAUACGUUCCCGGGCCUUGUACACACCGCCCGUCACACCAUGGGAGUGGGUUGCAAAAGAAGUAGGUAGCUUAACCUUCGGGAGGGCGCUUACCACUUUGUGAUUCAUGACUGGGGUGAAGUCGUAACAAGGUAACCGUAGGGGAACCUGCGGUUGGAUCACCUCCUU
This 1537-nucleotide ribosomal RNA is filed under the name Escherichia coli. RNAcentral's name for it is "bacterial SSU rRNA". It matches the Rfam family "Bacterial small subunit ribosomal RNA". Lineage: Bacteria; Pseudomonadati; Pseudomonadota; Gammaproteobacteria; Enterobacterales; Enterobacteriaceae. The record is from RNAcentral.